This 501-nucleotide ribosomal RNA is filed under the name uncultured bacterium. RNAcentral's name for it is "partial 16S ribosomal RNA". It matches the Rfam family "Bacterial small subunit ribosomal RNA", at positions 28 to 523 of the family's 1533-position model. The record is from RNAcentral.
GAUGAACGCUAGCGACAGGCUUAACACAUGCAAGUCGAGGGGCAGCGGGGGUAGCAAUACCCGCCGGCGACCGGCGCACGGGUGAGUAACGCGUAUGCAACUUACCUAUCAGAGGGGGAUAACCCGGCGAAAGUCGGACUAAUACCGCAUGAAGCAGGGGCCCCGCAUGGGGAUAUUUGCUAAAGAUUCAUCGCUGAUAGAUAGGCAUGCGUUCCAUUAGGCAGUUGGCGGGGUAACGGCCCACCAAACCGACGAUGGAUAGGGGUUCUGAGAGGAAGGUCCCCCACAUUGGUACUGAGACACGGACCAAACUCCUACGGGAGGCAGCAGUGAGGAAUAUUGGUCAAUGGGCGCGAGCCUGAACCAGCCAAGUCGCGUGAGGGAUGAAGGUUCUAUGGAUCGUAAACCUCUUUUAUAAGGGAAUAAAGUGCGGGACGUGUCCUGUUUUGUAUGUACCUUGUGAAUAAGGAUCGGCUAACUCCGUGCCAGCCGCCGCGGUAA